CUACGGGCUGCUCCAGUGAGGAAUAUUGCACAAUGGGGGGAACCCUGAUGCAGCAACGCCGCGUGGAGGAUGACGCAUUUCGGUGUGUAAACUCCUUUUAUAUGUCAAGAAAAUGACGGUAGCAUAUGAAUAAGCACCGGCUAACUCCGUGCCAGCAGCCGCGGUAAUACGGAGGGUGCAAGCGUUACUCGGAAUCACUGGGCGUAAAGGACGCGUAGGCGGGUUGGAAAGUCAGGUGUGAAAUCCUACAGCUUAACUGUAGAACUGCACUUGAAACUUCUAAUCUAGAGUAUGGGAGGGGGAGAUGGAAUUAGUGGUGUGGGGGUAAAAUCCGUAGAUAUCACUAGGAAUACCUAAAGCGAAGGCGAUCUCCUGGAACAUUACUGACGCUAAGGCGUGAAAGCGUGGGGAGCAAACAGGAUUAGAUACCCCAGUAGUC
Molecule: ribosomal RNA, 439 nt
Filed under: uncultured bacterium
Lineage: Bacteria
Description: partial 16S ribosomal RNA
Rfam family: Bacterial small subunit ribosomal RNA
Source: RNAcentral